Passer domesticus (house sparrow) is the source of this 3092-nucleotide long non-coding RNA. RefSeq lists it as uncharacterized. The transcript has 4 exons. NCBI's taxonomy places the organism in Eukaryota, Metazoa, Chordata, Aves, Passeriformes, Passeridae. The record is from RefSeq and is a predicted model, not a curated record.
UUCUUUCAGGGGAGAUAAGCUCGGAAGCAUAAAGCGAGCUCUGUCUGAGAUCGCCUCCCCCCGUUUUGUUUGUUCCCUGGCCCAGCGUGUACAGAAGCUCAAAGACAAAAGCUCCACUUAUGAAACCGGAGCACUGAAUUUUGUUUGUCUCAAGCUCUGUGUGUCUGUAAUUCACGACUUUGCUGCAUCCUCAGAUUUGCACAAGGGAAUAUUUUCUGUGACACACAGUUUUCAGCCUUAUGCCAGAAAUUCCUUUUCCCAUCUUUUGCCUUAGCUAUUGCCAGAGAUGUGUUUCCUCUCGGAGCAAAAAGAAAUGACACUGAGAUGGUUUUCCCAGUUUACCAGUGUGAAGAUAAAGAACAGGCUCAUGGAGUCUGCUGCCUCAACAUUCCGGAAAUUAAAUCCUCUGUAAAGAGAGCAUGCAACCUUCUCCUGGUAAAUGAACUUGGACACACAGACUUCACCCCCAGUUAAUAAAGCAGGAACUGCAUGUACAAGCAGUUCCAAGUAAGUCCGAGGUGGAUCUAGCUUCACUGUCUCUGACUAUAUCUGGUGGGCAAAAGAAGAGAGAGGAAGAAAGAGAAAAAAAUUUCCAGUGACAAGGUAGAAGUACUUGUGGACUGGUAUUCAAGGAACUGAUUCCUGCCUUUUAUGUUUCGCAAAAUUUGCACUUCAGAAGUGUUUGUCUGCAGUAUUUAUUACAUAUUGGUACCUGGAAAAUAAAUUUCUGAAAAAAAAUUCCCUAAAUUUCCAAGUGUCUAAGCCUAGCUUCUGUACUAUUAACUCUAUUAUCUUAGAAAUUGUUUAUGUUAAUUGAAUAAUUUGAAAUCUUAAUCUUUCUCCUGUGUUUUUCAAGAGGCAAAGUUCAUAAUUUGUAGAAUCACUUAAGAAAAUACUUUAAUUCAAGAUAACUUUAUUUCUUUUAGAUGCUUUGGCUUUUGGUGUUAUUUUUUCUUGUCAAGGUUUCUAUUGUUUGUUGGACAAACCCUUUAUUGGACUAUUUCCAAAAUCAGAGGAGUAAAUUCAUUGGUUUCAUAUUCCAGUGAAUUUUUAAAUAUUUGUCUUUAAAUCAGCAUUUGUUGAAAAGUAUAGUUAUUUUAUUUGUUUGGCUUUCGUUUAUAUUCUUAUUAUAAUGCAGAAAUGGGUAAAAGAAAUAUGGCCUACAUGAGAGAAACAUAGAGACAGUAAGAAAUAUUUCUGGCACAUGGAACUUAUAAGAUAUGAACCUCAAAAAUUUACUUCUAAAAAAUAAACCCAGAUAUCCUAUGGUUAAACAUUUAUUUGAAGUGAAUCUUUAAAAAUACCAAAGGUCUGUCUUCAUAAGUGAACAUGUUUAGCAUGACUAAAAAAUUUAUAAAGUAAGAAAGAAAAGGUUUGUCUGAGACUUGAGUUGAUUAAACAGUGCAGAAAUGCACUUUUUGGGGGGGAAGACAUGAUGUUUUUACUAGUCUGUCAUGUAUUAACACCCAAGUACAUUUUAAUGUUGAAGGAAAAUAUGGCACUGUGAUUUUUUUGUUCAAUGUGAUCAUCAAAACAUCAUUUUUGGUAACUGACAGGGAAGAAAAGCAGAUGACUAAAUGAAAUUACAUAGUCUUAAUUUUUAUUGCCUGAAUCUCUUUCUGUAUUUGAUAUUGGUAAAUAUAUUACAUUGGUACAUUUUGCAGUUAAAUAAACAGUCAAACAAAGCCCUUGAGGGCUUAUUUAAAUAGAAAUAUGUGAUGUGGAUUUAGUAGAGUAGAAAUCCAAGGUCUGUGUAAUUUAGAACCUUGUGUAAUUUUCCCAUCGGUAAAUCACACGUGGUCUCCCUCACAGCAGUGACCUUAGAUUUUGAUAUGGCAGUAACUGUAGGCCUAAAUCAUAAUAAACUCCAUGCUACAUCAAUUCUAGGAAAUAAAAUUUCACAGUCUUCACUAACUCCAUCAUAAACUCAUUUUUCCAGUAUUCAUUACAUUAACAAGUCAUCAACUGAGUCUAUUUGCCAUCUGAUGCAAUACAUUACUAUUAAUAUAUGAAAGUCAAUUGCCAUAUGAAUUACACACUAGAAGGCUGGGUUUUUUCAUAUUUUUGAGAAUUUCUUUAGUGGGUGCUUCUCUUUAUUAUACUCUUUGUUCAUACAUAUUGAAGGGAUUAGGAAUUCUGGCUGUCAUCUGGACACCUUAAUGGGUGCUCAGAAGUUGUACAGUCAGAUUCUUCAUUUCCUAAUUGAUUUUUGUAUUGUUAACUAGAAACAAACUGCAGGAUUAACUGGUUUCUUAGCCAGUAACCCUCUGCACAUAAAAAGUAUGACAGCUCCCUCUUCACCAGGUGCCAAUAGAGGAGCCAAGUUGCAACAACUGAUAGGCAGCAAAGGCAUGAGCAUGGGAAGUCUUCAGGAAAAGAUACACUGAAGUAGCAUUGCCAGCAAUAAAAUGUCCACAUAGAUAUAUGCAAAUCAUACUGCCCAGUGCCAAGCCUUGCUCCAAAAAUUACUGUACAAAAGUCAGCCUAUCAAGCUACAUUGUUCCACAAGUUAGAGCAAAACUAAGCAAGGAGAAAAACAGCUUUUCUGCUCCAGGAUGUGACAUAGCAGACAGUGCUUCUCAUAAGUUCAUCUGUAGUUCUCUCCUUAAAAGCACACUAAGGUUUUGCAUCACCUUGGUAACUGUAGAUCUUGGAGCCAAUAUUUUAAAUACCAUAAAGACAAUGGCAGUGUGCCUUCCUGCUAUGAAACUCCCAGCAAGUUGACCUGGUCCAGGAUUCCAUUCCAGAAGAUGAUUUCACAACAUUGAAUUCAAUCAAGAUUUUUACUCACAGGUUUUUUCAACAGAUUUCAAUGUUAGGUAUUUGUUGGAACCUGGUACCUAUUUUGAUAUUUUCCCUGAAAAUUUAGAAUGGUCAUAUUCCUCAAAGGAUGGAAAAUGCAGUAGUCAGACAUAACCAGUUAGUAUCAAAAGAAAUACAAAACUAUGUAUUAUUUCCUUGUUUUGAAUAUUUUGUAUAUAAUACUCAGAGGUUUUCCUUUUGGUUUUCUUUUUUUUUUUUUUUUAAUUUGCAUUUAACAAGGCUGUUUAAGUCAAAGGAAUAGUCAUGUGCUUGUUCUUAAUGGCAGUAGA